AUUGAACGCUGGCGGCAUGCUUUACACAUGCAAGUCGAACGGUAACAGGCCGCAAGGUGCUGACGAGUGGCGAACGGGUGAGUAAUGCAUCGGAACGUGCCCAGUCGUGGGGGAUAACUACUCGAAAGAGUAGCUAAUACCGCAUACGAUCUAUGGAUGAAAGCGGGGGACCGUAAGGCCUCGCGCGAUUGGAGCGGCCGAUGUCAGAUUAGGUAGUUGGUGGGGUAAAGGCUCACCAAGCCAACGAUCUGUAGCUGGUCUGAGAGGACAACCAGCCACACUGGGACUGAGACACGGCCCAGACUCCUACGGGAGGCAGCAGUGGGGAAUUUUGGACGAUGGGCGCAAGCCUGAUCCGGCAAUGCCGCGUGCAGGAAGAAGGCCUUCGGGUUGUAAACUGCUUUUGUACGGAACGAAACGGCUCUGGUUAAUACCCGGGGCUAAUGACGGUACCGUAAGAAUAAGCACCGGCUAACUACGUG
This 482-nucleotide ribosomal RNA is filed under the name uncultured bacterium. RNAcentral's name for it is "partial 16S ribosomal RNA". It matches the Rfam family "Bacterial small subunit ribosomal RNA", at positions 30 to 507 of the family's 1533-position model. The record is from RNAcentral.